Long non-coding RNA from Mauremys mutica (yellowpond turtle), 278 nucleotides. RefSeq lists it as uncharacterized. Lineage: Eukaryota; Metazoa; Chordata; Testudines; Geoemydidae. The transcript has 3 exons. The record is from RefSeq and is a predicted model, not a curated record.
AGAGAAGAGAAGAGAAGAGCUAGCAUGAGAAUGAACUAAACCUAACCUUAAUAAUCUAACUGGACCUUUUCAUGGCUCAAGGUGCGGAAGCAGUGAAGGGUUGCAAGAGUUGCGUGGUUUGCUUCUAACUGAGCGGGAGACUUGAGGAGAUAGUCGUCCAGGCAGGUGUUUGGAUGCCUAAGGAUUGGAGUGUGGCACGGGAGUCCUUCAUGGAGUGAAGGACCUCUUUGGGUUGUAGAGGCAAAGAGCUUGUCUCUAUCGAAAGGGAGAUCUUUGAC